Molecule: ribosomal RNA, 253 nt
Filed under: uncultured bacterium
Lineage: Bacteria
Description: partial 16S ribosomal RNA
Rfam family: Bacterial small subunit ribosomal RNA
Source: RNAcentral
UACAGAGGGGGCAAGCGUUGUUCGGAAUUACUGGGCGUAAAGGGCGCGUAGGCGGCCUUCUAAGUCGAACGUGAAAUCCCCGGGCUCAACCCGGGAACUGCGUCCGAUACUGGAAGGCUUGAAUCCGGGAGAGGGAUGCGGAAUUCCAGGUGUAGCGGUGAAAUGCGUAGAUAUCCGGAGGAACACCGGUGGCGAAGGCGGCAUCCUGGACCGGCAUUGACGCUGAGGCGCGAAAGCCAGGGGAGCAAACGGG